RNAcentral lists this long non-coding RNA (231 nucleotides) under Mytilus galloprovincialis (Mediterranean mussel). Lineage: Eukaryota; Metazoa; Mollusca; Bivalvia; Mytilida; Mytilidae. The record is from RNAcentral.
AAAAAGAAAAGCAAUACAUGAACCUAAGACCGCUGACUGCCGGGUCACCAAAAGAUUGUUGCUGAAUUUGUGUUUGCUUUUGAAUUGAAAUAAUUGACUGUGAAAAGAAGAAGCCAGUUGAAAGUAUAUAUUUACAGCUUCUAUUUGAAUAGCUAUUUUAAAGCUCGACUAUUAUAUUUAUCACUUGGGAAUGCACAUAUUUUUUUUUUCGAUUAUAACCCUUUGGCAAUC